This 424-nucleotide ribosomal RNA is filed under the name Paraglomus sp. RNAcentral's name for it is "bacterial SSU rRNA". It matches the Rfam family "Eukaryotic small subunit ribosomal RNA", at positions 548 to 972 of the family's 1831-position model. The record is from RNAcentral. Lineage: Eukaryota; Fungi; Glomeromycota; Glomeromycetes; Paraglomerales; Paraglomeraceae.
UUGGAGGGCAAGUCUGGUGCCAGCAGCCGCGGUAAUUCCAGCUCCAAUAGCGUAUAUUAAAGUUGUUGCAGUUAAAAAGCUCGUAGUUGAACCUUAGGCCCGUGCGGGUGGUCCGUCCUCUGGGCGAGCACUGCGUCGUCGCGGGUCUCACCUUCUGGCGAGCGUGGAUGCCAUUCACUUGGUGUCCGCGGGAACCAGGACCUUUACCUUGAAAAAAUUAGAGUGCUCAAAGCGGGCUCGUACGCUUGAAUACAUUAGCAUGGAAUAAUGAAAUAGGACGACGGUUCUAUUUUGUUGGUUUCCGGGACAGUCGUAAUGAUUAAUAGGGAUAGUUGGGGGGCAUUAGUAUUCAAUUGUCAGAGGUGAAAUUCUUGGAUUUAUUGAAGACUAACUACUGCGAAAGCAUUUGCCAAGGAUGUUUUCA